RNAcentral lists this microRNA precursor (84 nucleotides) under Bombyx mori (domestic silkworm). RNAcentral's name for it is "mir-2807 microRNA precursor family". It matches the Rfam family "mir-2807 microRNA precursor family". Lineage: Eukaryota; Metazoa; Arthropoda; Insecta; Lepidoptera; Bombycidae. The record is from Rfam by way of RNAcentral.
UUAACUAAAAUUUGUAUGGAAUUGGAACGCUUGCCUACGUUUGGCGCUAGGGGCGCUGUUCCAACUGCAUACAAAUUUAACUUU